This 200-nucleotide ribosomal RNA is filed under the name uncultured Glomus. Its description in RNAcentral is "partial small subunit ribosomal RNA". It matches the Rfam family "Eukaryotic small subunit ribosomal RNA", at positions 591 to 797 of the family's 1831-position model. Lineage: Eukaryota; Fungi; Glomeromycota; Glomeromycetes; Glomerales; Glomeraceae. The record is from RNAcentral.
CCAAUAGCGUAUAUUAAAGUUGUUGCAGUUAAAAAGCUCGUAGUUGAAUUUCGAGAUCGGCUUACUGGUCGUGCUUUUGUACGUACUGGUAUAAUCGGUUUCUCCUUUCUGACGAACUUUAAUGCCAUUAAUUUGGUGUUUUAGGGAAUCAGGACUGUUACUUUGAAAAAAUUAGAGUGUUUAAAGCAGGCUCACGCUUG